UCUGGUUGAUCCUGCCAGUAGUUAUAUGCUUGUCUCAAAGAUUAAGCCAUGCAUGUCUAAGUACACACGAAUUAAAAGUGAAACCGCAAAAGGCUCAUUAUAUCAGUUAUGGUUCCUUAGAUCGUUAACAGUUACUUGGAUAACUGUGGUAAUUCUAGAGCUAAUACAUGCAAUUAAAACAUGAACCUUAUGGGACAUGUGCUUUUAUUAGGCUAAAACCAAGCGAUCGCAAGAUCGUUAUAUUGGUUGAACUCUAGAUAACAUGCAGAUCGUAUGGUCUUGUACCGACGACAGAUCUUUCAAAUGUCUGCCCUAUCAACUUUUGAUGGUAGUAUCUAGGACUACCAUGGUUGCAACGGGUAACGGGGAAUCAGGGUUCGAUUCCGGAGAGGGAGCCUGAGAAACGGCUACCACAUCUAAGGAAGGCAGCAGGCGCGUAAAUUACCCACUCCCAGCUCGGGGAGGUAGUGACGAAAAAUAACAAUACAGGACUCAUAUCCGAGGCCCUGUAAUUGGAAUGAGUACACUUUAAAUCCUUUAACAAGGACCAAUUGGAGGGCAAGUCUGGUGCCAGCAGCCGCGGUAAUUCCAGCUCCAAUAGCGUAUAUUAAAGUUGUUGCGGUUAAAACGUUCGUAGUUGAACUUGUGCUUCAUACGGGUAGUACAACUUACAAUUGUGGUUAGUACUAUACCUUUAUGUAUGUAAGCGUAUUACCGGUGGAGUUCUUAUAUGUGAUUAAAUACUUGUAUUUUUUCAUAUGUUCCUCCUAUUUAAAAACCUGCACUAGUGCUCUUAAACGAGUGUUAUUGUGGGCCGGUACUAUUACUUUGAACAAAUUAGAGUGCUUAAAGCAGGCUUCAAAUGCCUGAAUAUUCUGUGCAUGGGAUAAUGAAAUAAGACCUCUGUUCUGCUUUCAUUGGUUUUCAGAUCAAGAGGUAAUGAUUAAUAGAAGCAGUUUGGGGGCAUUAGUAUUACGACGCGAGAGGUGAAAUUGA
This 996-nucleotide ribosomal RNA is filed under the name Drosophila sechellia. RNAcentral describes it as "SSU rRNA". It matches the Rfam family "Eukaryotic small subunit ribosomal RNA", at positions 1 to 920 of the family's 1831-position model. Lineage: Eukaryota; Metazoa; Arthropoda; Insecta; Diptera; Drosophilidae. The record is from RNAcentral.